CGAGGUCUAAAAUUGGAUGACUGAAUCGAUAACGAAUUUAAAAUUGGCAGAACUUGGAAAUACAAUGUCAAGUAUAUGCAUUAAUUGAAUCAAAUACCUUUUCCAAAUUGCAAUUCUGUCAAUGGCAAAGCAAAAUAAAUAGUCAAGUAAACGGUAGCUGGCGAGAAACAGUUGUUGCACCAGUUCAAAAUUAACUACUGGUCCACAAUCUUGAGAAAGAGUCUGUCGACACAAUCAGACAGGUGCCGAUCGAUAUUUUCGCGCAGGUGUCCUAGUUGCCGUCCUAGGAAAGUGGGAAGGAGCGCUGGGCUCAGCGACGUUUCCGGUUGGGUCCAUAUGUAGCCUGUGCGAGUCAUGCUGCAGUGUGCAUCGUAAUAUCUUCCUG
Molecule: non-coding RNA, 385 nt
Organism: Linepithema humile (Argentine ant)
Lineage: Eukaryota; Metazoa; Arthropoda; Insecta; Hymenoptera; Formicidae
Source: RefSeq, a predicted model, not a curated record